This 464-nucleotide ribosomal RNA is filed under the name uncultured bacterium. RNAcentral describes it as "partial 16S ribosomal RNA". It matches the Rfam family "Bacterial small subunit ribosomal RNA", at positions 339 to 795 of the family's 1533-position model. The record is from RNAcentral.
CUACGGGGGGCUGCAGUGGGGAAUAUUGCACAAUGGGCGCAAGCCUGAUGCAGCCAUGCCGCGUGUAUGAAGAAGGCCUUCGGGUUGUAAAGUACUUUCAGCGGGGAGGAAGGGAGUAAAGUUAAUACCUUUGCUCAUUGACGUUACCCGCAGAAGAAGCACCGGCUAAGUCCGUGCCAGCAGCCGCGGUAAUACGGAGGGUGCAAGCGUUAAUCGGAAUUACUGGGCGUAAAGCGCACGCCGGCGGUUUGUUAAGUCAGAUGUGAAAUCCCCGGGCUCAACCUGGGAACUGCAUCUGAUACUGGCAAGCUUGAGUCUCGUAGAGGGGGGUAGAAUUCCAGGUGUAGCGGUGAAAUGCGUAGAGAUCUGGAGGAAUACCGGUGGCGAAGGCGGCCCCCUGGACGAAGACUGACGCUCAGGUGCGAAAGCGUGGGGAGCAAACAGGAUUAGAUACCCUUGUAGUC